AAGCGAGUAGCUCCAGCUCAAACUGGCCCAUUUGAACCUCUGGAGCGUGGAAGGGGAGAAGGGCGCUGGACAUGAGCGAGAACUGAAUGGAUGACCGGGCUGCUGCCCCGACAGCGCCGCGCAGUGGCCAAAGCUCGGGUAUGCGAGUCCAGAGAUCCAGCUGUGCUCUUCUGUCCCGAGGCUGUGACCCUCAUUAGGUCAACAUGUGCAGGUGCCCACUGGACAUCACCACAUGGAUAUCACAAGGCUUCUCAAAUCCGGAUGUCCUAAAUGAAACACCUCUCUUCCUCAACCCAGUAACCCUCUGACUCCAACCUGCUCCCCUUCCAGCAUUCCAGAUCUCAGCAAAUGGGCCCCUCCCCUCUCCUCCCCACCACCACCCAGAUCAGAAGUGUGGACAUCAGCAUAUUGGGCUCCUCCCUCCCCCUCUCACUCCCCAGUCCAGGCAAUUGCCAGGUCUUAGCAAUUCCACAUGAAUCCCAAAUCUAACCCUCCUUCGUUUCUCCGGGCCUCAGUUCAGCCUGCAUCAUCCACCAUUCAUCAUUCACUUCUGGGCCUGCCCUUUGUAGUGCUCAGGGCAAGACAGAGAUGAAGAAACAGUCUGGUGGAGAGAUGGGCAAUUAGACGCUAUGAGAGAGGUGGCAGGGUGGCUGUGGAAGAAGAGAGGAAGAAGAUGACACUUGGAGAUCUAGAGACAACCCCCUACUCCACAACAAUGAAGAAUCAGCCGGUUUGUAUUCGAAAAGGUCCUGCCUCAGUACCCUCUCUACCCUCUCCACCUUGCAUUCUACUGCCUAAGUGCAGGCCAUACUGAACACAAGACAGUGCAAUUAUAACACACAGCUCACCAAAGAAAGCAAGACAAGCCACUGCAGCAGCAGAAAAUCUAAUUCCAAGAGCAGAGUGACCUGGAGUUAGUUCUCAUUUGAGCUUCAGUUUCCUCACCUGCCAAAUAGAAGCAAUCAUGUGCCCUCUCAGCGUUGUUAUGAGACUCAAAUGAGAGCAUGUAGGAAAGUGCCUGGCCCACACUGGCACUUGGUAUGAGUUGCUUUCUCCCCUAUCAACUGCCAUUUCCAGUAUUAACCAGGAGGAGAAGGAGAGAGGCAGGUCCAGAGAAGUGAUUUUAGAGCCUGCAUAUUUGCAACUAGGCACAGCAUAAUCCUGCAGCUAAACUCAGGCACAGAACCAGAGCUGACAGUCUUUCAGCUCCUCCAAAGUCCCCUACCACAGCCUUUUUCUCACACCUCCAGGGAGUGAGGGAGUUGGCAGAAAAAUGGCUUUUACUAUCUCCCAUGGCCAACUGUAGUUUUCUUGUACUUUGGAUUUUCCAGCCCCUGUGCACAGCCUGGGACAUAGCAUAUGUUCAAUAAAUGAUACUGAAUGUG
Molecule: long non-coding RNA, 1385 nt
Organism: Galeopterus variegatus (Sunda flying lemur)
Lineage: Eukaryota; Metazoa; Chordata; Mammalia; Dermoptera; Cynocephalidae
Exons: 2
Source: RefSeq, a predicted model, not a curated record